Molecule: ribosomal RNA, 380 nt
Filed under: uncultured soil bacterium
Lineage: Bacteria
Description: partial 16S ribosomal RNA
Source: RNAcentral
CACCCCAGUCGCUGACCUGACCGUGGUCGGCUGCCCCCCAUCGCUGGGUUAGCGCACCGGNUUNGGGUAAAGCCAACUCCCAUGGUGUGACGGGCGGNGUGUACAAGGCCCGGGAACGUAUUCACCGCNGCGUGCUGAUCCGCGAUUACUAGCGAUUCCAACUUCAUGCACCCGAGUUGCAGAGUGCAAUCCGAACUGAGACGGCUUUUGGGGAUUGGCUCGACCUCGCGGUAUUGCUUNCCACUGUCACCGACAUUGUAGCACGUGUGUAUNCCCAGCCCAUGAGGGCCAUGAGGACUUGACGUCAUCCCCGNCUUCCUCCGGNUUGUUACCGGCGGUUUCCCCAGANUGNCCACCGUUGUGUGCUGGUAACUGAGGAU